AUUGUCUUGGCAGAAGAAAUGCAACUGACUUAGGCUCAGUCAAUAGCACUUAGUGCUAGUCGGAG
Molecule: transfer RNA, 65 nt
Filed under: Leucophytia bidentata (two-toothed white snail)
Lineage: Eukaryota; Metazoa; Mollusca; Gastropoda; Ellobiida; Ellobiidae
Description: Auriculinella bidentata (two-toothed white snail) tRNA-Leu
Source: RNAcentral